This 71-nucleotide transfer RNA is filed under the name Sporothrix schenckii. Its description in RNAcentral is "tRNA-Arg2". It matches the Rfam family "tRNA". From Rfam's summary of the family: Transfer RNA (tRNA) molecules are approximately 80 nucleotides in length. Their secondary structure includes four short double-helical elements and three loops (D, anti-codon, and T loops). Lineage: Eukaryota; Fungi; Ascomycota; Sordariomycetes; Ophiostomatales; Ophiostomataceae. The record is from RNAcentral. RNAcentral also lists the same sequence under 3 other names.
UUCUUAUUAGCUUAAUGGUAGAGCAAGAUACUUCUAAUAUCCUGAUUCUAGUUCGAAUCUAGAAUAAGAAU